GUACUUGCUUCGGCGGUACAUAUACAAAUAUUGGAACAAUACAGAGAAGAUUAGCAUGGCCCCUGUAUAAGGAUGACACGCAAAAUCGCAAAGUGUUCCACACACAU
Molecule: small nuclear RNA, 107 nt
Filed under: Portunus trituberculatus (swimming crab)
Lineage: Eukaryota; Metazoa; Arthropoda; Malacostraca; Decapoda; Portunidae
Source: RNAcentral